GAGCGCGCUCCGCUCUUCGUGGAAGACUGGACGCGGAAAGACGCAGCGCUCCCCCAAACACAGAGCUGCGUAACUCACCAGACACUGCUGUUAAUGUGAUCAUCAGAGGACCAGACCAUGUUGGCUAAACUCUCACAGUUUUCAGAACUUCAUGAUGCUUCG
Molecule: long non-coding RNA, 162 nt
Organism: Stegastes partitus (bicolor damselfish)
Lineage: Eukaryota; Metazoa; Chordata; Actinopteri; Pomacentridae
Exons: 3
Source: RefSeq, a predicted model, not a curated record